This 2042-nucleotide ribosomal RNA is filed under the name Escherichia coli. RNAcentral describes it as "partial 23S ribosomal RNA". It matches the Rfam family "Bacterial large subunit ribosomal RNA", at positions 418 to 2445 of the family's 2925-position model. Lineage: Bacteria; Pseudomonadati; Pseudomonadota; Gammaproteobacteria; Enterobacterales; Enterobacteriaceae. The record is from RNAcentral.
CGGGACACGUGGUAUCCUGUCUGAAUAUGGGGGGACCAUCCUCCAAGGCUAAAUACUCCUGACUGACCGAUAGUGAACCAGUACCGUGAGGGAAAGGCGAAAAGAACCCCGGCGAGGGGAGUGAAAAAGAACCUGAAACCGUGUACGUACAAGCAGUGGGAGCACGCUUAGGCGUGUGACUGCGUACCUUUUGUAUAAUGGGUCAGCGACUUAUAUUCUGUAGCAAGGUUAACCGAAUAGGGGAGCCGAAGGGAAACCGAGUCUUAACUGGGCGUUAAGUUGCAGGGUAUAGACCCGAAACCCGGUGAUCUAGCCAUGGGCAGGUUGAAGGUUGGGUAACACUAACUGGAGGACCGAACCGACUAAUGUUGAAAAAUUAGCGGAUGACUUGUGGCUGGGGGUGAAAGGCCAAUCAAACCGGGAGAUAGCUGGUUCUCCCCGAAAGCUAUUUAGGUAGCGCCUCGUGAAUUCAUCUCCGGGGGUAGAGCACUGUUUCGGCAAGGGGGUCAUCCCGACUUACCAACCCGAUGCAAACUGCGAAUACCGGAGAAUGUUAUCACGGGAGACACACGGCGGGUGCUAACGUCCGUCGUGAAGAGGGAAACAACCCAGACCGCCAGCUAAGGUCCCAAAGUCAUGGUUAAGUGGGAAACGAUGUGGGAAGGCCCAGACAGCCAGGAUGUUGGCUUAGAAGCAGCCAUCAUUUAAAGAAAGCGUAAUAGCUCACUGGUCGAGUCGGCCUGCGCGGAAGAUGUAACGGGGCUAAACCAUGCACCGAAGCUGCGGCAGCGACGCUGAUGCGUUGUUGGGUAGGGGAGCGUUCUGUAAGCCUGUGAAGGUGUGCUGUGAGGCAUGCUGGAGGUAUCAGAAGUGCGAAUGCUGACAUAAGUAACGAUAAAGCGGGUGAAAAGCCCGCUCGCCGGAAGACCAAGGGUUCCUGUCCAACGUUAAUCGGGGCAGGGUGAGUCGACCCCUAAGGCGAGGCCGAAAGGCGUAGUCGAUGGGAAACAGGUUAAUAUUCCUGUACUUGGUGUUACUGCGAAGGGGGGACGGAGAAGGCUAUGUUGGCCGGGCGACGGUUGUCCCGGUUUAAGCGUGUAGGCUGGUUUUCCAGGCAAAUCCGGAAAAUCAAGGCUGAGGCGUGAUGACGAGGCACUACGGUGCUGAAGCAACAAAUGCCCUGCUUCCAGGAAAAGCCUCUAAGCAUCAGGUAACAUCAAAUCGUACCCCAAACCGACACAGGUGGUCAGGUAGAGAAUACCAAGGCGCUUGAGAGAACUCGGGUGAAGGAACUAGGCAAAAUGGUGCCGUAACUUCGGGAGAAGGCACGCUGAUAUGUAGGUGAAGCGACUUGCUCGUGGAGCUGAAAUCAGUCGAAGAUACCAGCUGGCUGCAACUGUUUAUUAAAAACACAGCACUGUGCAAACACGAAAGUGGACGUAUACGGUGUGACGCCUGCCCGGUGCCGGAAGGUUAAUUGAUGGGGUCAGCGCAAGCGAAGCUCUUGAUCGAAGCCCCGGUAAACGGCGGCCGUAACUAUAACGGUCCUAAGGUAGCGAAAUUCCUUGUCGGGUAAGUUCCGACCUGCACGAAUGGCGUAAUGAUGGCCAGGCUGUCUCCACCCGAGACUCAGUGAAAUUGAACUCGCUGUGAAGAUGCAGUGUACCCGCGGCAAGACGGAAAGACCCCGUGAACCUUUACUAUAGCUUGACACUGAACAUUGAGCCUUGAUGUGUAGGAUAGGUGGGAGGCUUUGAAGUGUGGACGCCAGUCUGCAUGGAGCCGACCUUGAAAUACCACCCUUUAAUGUUUGAUGUUCUAACGUUGACCCGUAAUCCGGGUUGCGGACAGUGUCUGGUGGGUAGUUUGACUGGGGCGGUCUCCUCCUAAAGAGUAACGGAGGAGCACGAAGGUUGGCUAAUCCUGGUCGGACAUCAGGAGGUUAGUGCAAUGGCAUAAGCCAGCUUGACUGCGAGCGUGACGGCGCGAGCAGGUGCGAAAGCAGGUCAUAGUGAUCCGGUGGUUCUGAAUGGAAGGGCCAU